RNAcentral lists this small RNA (431 nucleotides) under Pongo abelii (Sumatran orangutan). Its description in RNAcentral is "processed transcript". The record is from RNAcentral. Lineage: Eukaryota; Metazoa; Chordata; Mammalia; Primates; Hominidae.
CAUCUUUGUUCAGUUAUUUAUUUAUUAAACAUUUAUGGAGCAUCCAUUCUCUGUCAGUCGUUGCGCCAAGGUGCUGUGCACACAUUUCGUCGGCAUGAAAUGAGAAAUCAGUUUGUUGUAGUCAUCCAGAAAAUGCUUUUCCCUAAAUCUGCAUUUAGUCAGAUUUUAUGUUUUUCUGUACUUGACAUGUUUUGUUUUCUUCUUUUUAGCAUUUCUGGAAAGGAGUCCAUUAUCGCUGGGCAUUUUUCAUGGCCAGUGGCCCAUGUUUAGAUGACAUUGCAGAACUGGUGGAUGCAGGAAAGAUCCGGCCAGUUAUCGAACAAACCUUUCCUUUUUCUAAAGUUCCAGAAGCCUUCCUGAAGGUGGAAAGAGGACACGCACGAGGAAAGACUGUAAUUAACGUUGUUUAAAUAAAAAUGCAGUUUAGUGAU